AAAGCCGGUCCAAACUGGGCUUUUGAAUUGAAUUUUCGUGUCGCGAUUGUUGAACAACUUUUUGACUAAAAAAAGGGCACCAAUUUUGCACAAAUGGAGGCUCGAUGCCGAUGGAAAGAAGGCUUCUGCACACUUUCUAUUGUUUAGUUACAUAUGUCUGAAAUUGUUUCUUUACCUUACGAAAGAAUUUUAUAUCUUUUUUAUAACGUUCGGCUCGACCUCCAACUCACAUGUGUUGAAAAAAAAAAAAAUCAAAAUGACCCAAAAAUAAUUUUCAAACCUUUCCCGGCGUCUUGUAAAGGGACUUGUAAAGAAAGAUGGGAGAUAAAGAGAAGGGAACAAAGGAAGGGAUUUCGUCAGGCGGCGGAGGAGCCGCGAGCAACAACCCAUUUAAGAAAUUAAAGAACUUUUUUACGCAUUUCAUGAAAGAAAACAAAGAAAAUAAAAAUGAGAAGAAUAUCGCACAAAGACUUAGAGAGAAGACUAAUCUUACCAAAAAAUUAGGUUUUGUUGUGCCUAAAAGUUCUAAACGGUAUGGAGCACGAGUACUGGUUCCCAGAGUAUAACGGAAAAAACUGAAAUACAUGAGCAGAACGUACCGGAAAUUUCAUGUCUAACGCCUGAACACCGAAAAGGUGGUUAAACCAAGCUUACGACCCAAACGAAAAACAAAAAUUUAAACAGAAAAUCGACUUCAAGUAUAAAUCAAACAACGUGUCUCAACAGCUGAACUCCGUCCAAGUCUCAAUAGGAUCAGACAUUCAGAGCAAUAUAAAUUUAUCCACUCAA
This is a long non-coding RNA of Cimex lectularius (bed bug), 789 nucleotides long. RefSeq lists it as uncharacterized. Lineage: Eukaryota; Metazoa; Arthropoda; Insecta; Hemiptera; Cimicidae. The record is from RefSeq and is a predicted model, not a curated record. The transcript is spliced from 2 exons.